UAAUGAUGAUGAGGGCAAUAAUGGAGAAUGGACUAAAACCUUUCCCAAGAUUGGCACAGAUUCUCACCAUCUUUCUGCCUAAAACUCAAAAUUGUACUUCUCAACCA
Molecule: non-coding RNA, 107 nt
Organism: Capsicum annuum
Lineage: Eukaryota; Viridiplantae; Streptophyta; Magnoliopsida; Solanales; Solanaceae
Source: Rfam